This 1244-nucleotide ribosomal RNA is filed under the name Streptomyces sp. Its description in RNAcentral is "bacterial SSU rRNA". The record is from RNAcentral. Lineage: Bacteria; Bacillati; Actinomycetota; Actinomycetes; Kitasatosporales; Streptomycetaceae.
UUUGAUCCUGGCUCAGGACGAACGCUGGCGGCGUGCUUAACACAUGCAAGUCGAACGAUGAACCGCUUUCGGGCGGGGAUUAGUGGCGAACGGGUGAGUAACACGUGGGCAAUCUGCCCUGCACUCUGGGACAAGCCCUGGAAACGGGGUCUAAUACCGGAUAUGACCGUCUGCCGCAUGGUGGAUGGUGUAAAGCUCCGGCGGUGCAGGAUGAGCCCGCGGCCUAUCAGCUUGUUGGUGAGGUAGUGGCUCACCAAGGCGACGACGGGUAGCCGGCCUGAGAGGGCGACCGGCCACACUGGGACUGAGACACGGCCCAGACUCCUAYGGGAGGCAGCAGUGGGGAAUAUUGCACAAUGGGCGAAAGCCUGAUGCAGCGACGCCGCGUGAGGGAUGACGGCCUUCGGGUUGUAAACCUCUUUCAGCAGGGAAGAAGCGAAAGUGACGGUACCUGCAGAAGAAGCGCCGGCUAACUACGUGCCAGCAGCCGCGGUAAUACGUAGGGCGCAAGCGUUGUCCGGAAUUAUUGGGCGUAAAGAGCUCGUAGGCGGCUUGUCACGUCGGUUGUGAAGCCCGGGGCUUAACCCCGGGUCUGCAGUCGAUACGGGCAGGCUAGAGUUCGGUAGGGGAGAUCGGAAUUCCUGGUGUAGCGGUGAAAUGCGCAGAUAUCAGGAGGAACACCGGUGGCGAAGGCGGAUCUCUGGGCCGAUACUGACGCUGAGGAGCGAAAGCGUGGGGAGCGAACAGGAUUAGAUACCCUGGUAGUCCACGCCGUAAACGGUGGGCACUAGGUGUGGGCAACAUUCCACGUUGUCCGUGCCGCAGCUAACGCAUUAAGUGCCCCGCCUGGGGAGUACGGCCGCAAGGCUAAAACUCAAAGGAAUUGACGGGGGCCCGCACAAGCGGCGGAGCAUGUGGCUUAAUUCGACGCAACGCGAAGAACCUUACCAAGGCUUGACAUACACCGGAAACGUCUGGAGACAGGCGCCCCCUUGUGGUCGGUGUACAGGUGGUGCAUGGCUGUCGUCAGCUCGUGUCGUGAGAUGUUGGGUUAAGUCCCGCAACGAGCGCAACCCUUGUCCCGUGUUGCCAGCAGGCCCUUGUGGUGCUGGGGACUCACGGGAGACCGCCGGGGUCAACUCGGAGGAAGGUGGGGACGACGUCAAGUCAUCAUGCCCCUUAUGUCUUGGGCUGCACACGUGCUACAAUGGCCCGGUACAAUGAGCUGCGAUACCGCGAGGUGG